CCGACGGUGAGGGGCGAAAGCUGGGGGCACGAACCGGAUUAGAUACCCGGGUAGUCCCAGCCGUAAACGAUGCUCGCUAGGUGUCUGGGAUGGUGCGACCGUUCCAGGUGCCGCAGGGAAGCCGUGAAGCGAGCCACCUGGGAAGUACGGCCGCAAGGCUGAAACUUAAAGGAAUUGGCGGGGGAGCACUACAACGGGUGGAGCCUGCGGUUUAAUUGGACUCAACGCCGGAAAUCUCACCGGAUAA
RNAcentral lists this ribosomal RNA (247 nucleotides) under uncultured archaeon. RNAcentral's name for it is "partial 16S ribosomal RNA". It matches the Rfam family "Archaeal small subunit ribosomal RNA", at positions 691 to 937 of the family's 1478-position model. The record is from RNAcentral.